Molecule: non-coding RNA, 69 nt
Organism: Hysterangium stoloniferum
Lineage: Eukaryota; Fungi; Basidiomycota; Agaricomycetes; Hysterangiales; Hysterangiaceae
Source: the annotation of a GenBank genome assembly
GAUCAGGUGGUGUAGUGGUAACACCCUCACUAUAUAUGAAGACCCUGGGUUCAAUUCCCAGUCUAGCCA